RNAcentral lists this long non-coding RNA (7242 nucleotides) under Gossypium raimondii (Peruvian cotton). RNAcentral describes it as "long non-coding RNA (GRAI_LNC010800)". Lineage: Eukaryota; Viridiplantae; Streptophyta; Magnoliopsida; Malvales; Malvaceae. The record is from RNAcentral.
UAAAAUAAGAUAGGAUCACACAUAUAAUUUACAAUAUCCAAAUCCAUAUCUAAACCCAACUAAUAAUAUAUACCCACACAUAUAAGAAAAUAAGCAAACAUAGUCUAAAAAUUUCAAAUUACAAUAUCCAGCGAUUCUUGAAAGACGGGCCAGUUGGUGCUACUUUUGAGGAACUCACCUUGUCAAAGUGGAAGUUCCGGAUACAAGUCUCCUCACCACAACGGAAUAGAGUUCAAGGCUGAGAUUGUAGGUGUCAGGAGUUCUGGUGUCAAUGUGGUCAUUUCAGCCAUGGCAAGAGGGGUGUACUCUUUCAUUUCUUGUUUGCUUUAAUUAAAAAUAUUUUCCCAAUAAACUUGGGUGUCGGCUUUGCAAAAAUGACCCGUGAUUGAUGAUCAGAUUUUUAACCUUUUAUGGCCGCCAUAAUCCUCUCCAAACAAUGAAUCUACCAUCUGCAAAAUCUUAUCAAAGAAAACUUUGACAUAAAUGUGGCAAAAGCCAAAGAAUAUUUUCUUUCUUAUUCUUGAAGAAAAAGUUCGAAAAAAUCGUCAUUGGUUCCUUCAGAUUUCUUUCACCAUUUCCAUUUGUCUUUUUUCAUUUAGCAAUUUGGGAUUUCGCCAAAUUCUUUGUAUGAUGGCUCAGUUUGUGUUGGAUUGCCAAUUAUAAUUUCCUUUUCAAUUUGACAAUUUCUUUUUUCUUUUAGAAUUGUAUCUUUUCCAAUCAUUUCUUAAGCGGGGUUUUUACUAAAAUAAUACAAAAAAUAAAAAAAUACUAAAAUAAAAUACAAAAAAAAUUAUUUACCAAAAUAAUACAAAAAAAAGACGGCUGAAGGAGGGUAAUGGAAUGGCGGCACCGGUGGUGUCAUUCCCAUUGGCGGCACAGGACUAAAAUGUAACUAUCUGCAGUUUCAAGGACCUGACAUGUAAAUUUAUCAUUUUGAAUUUUGAAAGUGAAUUGGUGCCGCAUGUGGGUGUGUCAGCGCCAAAGCUGAAACUUGGCCAAUUGUCUUCCAAGCCCUCCUUAUUUAUUAUUUUCUUUUUAUUCCCCUUCAACUCACUUUUUUAUUUAAUAAACAAGCCCUCAAUCUAUUUUUGUAGUUAAAUAAGCUCUUAAUCUAUGAUUUUUACUCAUAAAAGCCCUUUAUUUUAUUAUUAAAGUAAAUAUAUUUUACCUAAAGUAAAACUAUUUAAAAAAGUAUAAACUAAUUCGCAUUUUAUUUAUUAUUUUGGUAAUUUGAUGAGAAUAGUUUAUUAAACCAAAAUAAUAAAUAAAAUGCGAAUUAGUUUAUACUUUUUUAAAUAGUUUUACUUUAGGUAAAAUAUAUUUACUUUAAUAAUAAAAUAAAGGGCUUUUAUGAGUAAAAAUCAUAGAUUAAGAGCUUAUUUAACUACAAAAAAAGGUUAAGGGCUUGUUUAUUAAAUAAAAAAGUGAGUUGAAGGGGAAUAAAAAGAAAAUAAUAAAUAAGGAGGGCUUAAAAGGCAAUUAGCCAAGUUUCAGCUUUGGCGCUAACACAUCGGCACCAAUUCACUUUCAAAAUUUAAAAUGGUAAAUUUGCAUGUCAGGUCCUUGCAACGGCAGAUAAUUACAUUUUAGUCUUGUGCCGCCAAUGGGAAUGGCAUCACCGGUGCCGCCAAUGAGAAAGGCACCACCGGUGCCGCCAUUCCAUUACCCUCCUUCAGCCGUCUUUUUUUUGUAUUAUUUUGAUAAAUAAUUUUUUUUGUAUAUUAUUUUAGUAUUUUUUUAUUUCUUUUGUAUUAUUUUAGUAAAAAAACCCUUUCUUAAGCUCCAUUUUUUUACAAGGAAGGAAUUAGUUUUAAAACUUCACAUUGUAGCUUUUUAAGAAAUAAUAAAUUAUAGGUUAAAUUCCGUUAUUAGACCCUAUACUUUAUGUAAGUUGUGGACUUAGUAUUUGGUCAUUUUUAGUCCCUGUACUUUUAGAAUUUGAAAAUUUUAGUUCUAACCAAAUGAUAACUAUUAAAUUCAUUAAGCAAUUUCUGUUAUUUUUAAAAUUUAACGUGUUAAACAUAUUAUCACAUAUAUAAUGCUAUGUCUAUUUUGUUAUUUUCACAUAUUACUUACAAAAAUUCAAUUAAUAGAUUUAAUGACUGCCAUUUACAUUAAGCCUGAAAUUUUGAAAUUGAAAAAAUAUAGCCACUAAAAAUGAUCCAAUUGGUGAACGUGAAUUCAAUCUAUAACUUUAUGCAUAAUAUAGGACUAAUGACAUAAUUUAACUAAACAGAUUUAACUGCUACAUUGGAUCAGAACUAAAAUUUCAAAUUUCAAAUAGUACAAUGUAAUAAAAGAAUUUAACCUAAAUUAUAUGUUUUUACUAGACCUGUCCAUGGGGCCCGGCCCGACGGCCUGCCCGAAAUAUGGGAGGGUUUGGGUAAAAAUAUAGGCCCGAACUAUGGGCUUGGGCAAAAAAUGAGGCCCGUUUAGAAAACGGGCCGGGCCUCGGGCAAAACUUUUUUGGUCCGGGCCCGGCCCGGCCCGGCCCGAAAAUAUAUUAAAUAUAUAUAUUUUAUUUUUAAAAUAUAAUAGUUUUAGUUUUAUACAAUUAAUAAUUUGAUAAUUUUACUAAUUAAAUGUUAAAUUUUGUUACAACAAUUAAUACAAUUAACAAUUAAUAAUUUGAUAAUUUUACUAUUCAAAUUAAUUUAUAAAUCAUAUUUAGUUUUCAUAUAUAUAUAUAAUAUUUUUUUACAAUGGAACAAAACACAGGUGAUAAAGCAUCUGAUUUUAGUAAAUGCUUGUUAAUCAUUAACAUCCAAAAACCAGCCCAACUGCAUUUUAUUAUUUUGGUCAACUUAGGUAGGAUUUCCAAAAAUAAAAUUUGGAAUGUUUGAUUUAUUCUUCUGAAGAUAAGGGGAAAUUUUGUUUUUGCAUUUCCAAUGCUAAUCUCCCCGUCUUCUCAAUUAAUAAUUUGAUAAUUUUACUAAUCAAAUGUUAGAUUUUGUUACAACAAUUAAUACAAUUAAUAAUUAAUAAUUUGAUGAUUUUACUAACAAUUAAUUUUAAUAAUAAUUAGUUUUAAUUUUAUUAAAAAUAUAAUUUUAAUUUUAAUUAAAAACGGACAGGGCCGGCCGGGCUCGGGCUUCAUAUUUUUUCCCCGGGCCAGACCUGGGCAAAAUCUCAGGCCCAUAUUUUGGGCCGGGCCAUGCUCGAGCCUGGGAAGUGGGCUGAAAUUUUUUGUGGGCCUGGCCCGGCCCAUGGACAGGUCUAGUUUUUACCGUACUUUUUUAUGAAUACGAAUGAAAUAUCGCUCAAUUUGUCUUUUACUAUACUUUUUAAACACACUUCCAAUAAAUUUUUGUCUAAUUCAAUUUUAAAAGUUUUUAAAAUUUUAAUAUUAAAAAUUGUAAGUGUCUUAAAUAUUUUUGUAAAAAUUUAAAUACAAAAAAAUAGUUUAACUAAAAUUUAAUUUAAAUUAUUUUUUUGAAGAGGUUAACACUGGGUUAAGAAAUUAUAAUUUAAAAUUCUAAAUACAAUUUAUUAAAUUCAAACCUCCAAAACAUAAUUUGAAACAAAUUAAUCUAUCACCAAGUAAUUGAAGCAUUAAAUAAAGUUUAUUCAUCCACCUUUAAUCUAUUACAAUUUUUUAACUUUUGCAUGUUUGAUCCAAUUGGUGAACCAUUUCAACCCAAUUUUGGUGGGACAAAAGCUAUGUGUGUGUGUAUAUAUUGCUAGAGAAAUAAUUAGUAAAUAAAGAAUAUAUUAAUCAAUCAAUAAUAAUAAAAAGGGACAUUGUGGGACAUUCAUGAAAUAAGAUCCCACUAAGGAGCAACUAAGCUAUCAUAUCAAUAAAUAAAUAAAUAAAAACUUAAUAACUUUUGUACCCCUCCAACUUUAUAAAAACAAAAUCAUUUUAACCUUUCAUUUAAUUUUUCACCUUUUUAGCUCUUAAACUUUUUUUUUGUCAAAUCACCUCACAAUGAAUGAAAAAGUUGACAUUUUUUAACUUUGAUGAUGUUGCGUACAGGUGAAUGACAAUGUUGUGACACUAUUCGAUUUGAGUUGAAAACGAGCUAUUGUGGCCAAUCAUGUAUGAAAGAGCUAUCAGACUUGGAAAUGAUUGAAAUUUUAAAGUGAAAUGCGACUUAUAAACUUAAUUGUGAUACUAGUGAAUGAAUAAGUAUCAUUAUACAUGAAUAAAUGUAGAAAUGAACUAAAUGCUAAUAAAUUGAAUGUUAUAUGAGAAGUUAAUAUGUAUGUAUAAAGAAUUGGUAUGCUGUUAUGAAUAUAAGCAUAGAUAUAUGAAAGUGAAAUUAUUUUUCAUAUGUUGGCAUAAGUUAGACUACAAAUUGAACAUAUGCAUUUGCAUGAAUUUGUUCAUAUUGAUUUGAAUUGUAGAAAUUACCACUAAGCAAUUUGCUCAGUGUGCGAUUUGUUUUCCAUGCCCAGGUUAGGUUCUAUUCAAAAUUCCUGAGCAUUAACUUCAACAUCCAAUCAAUGAUCCUGGGCUCAUCAAUGUUUGUUCGUUUAUGGAUUUUGUUAAUAGUUGGCAUGUAUCUAAUAGGUUAAGUCAUGUUGGUUUGGUAUUUUAAGAAUGAUAUAUAUUUGUUUUGAUUAUAUAUAUACUCUUUUGAUUUCAAUUGUUGAUGUAUGUAUUGGCUUUCCUUAUUAUUAGUUGCAAAUGGUUAAUAAUCUUAGUUGAAAUGGUAUAAUCCUAUAUAUGUUAAUGAUCCUAAUGAUAUUGGUGUGAAUGCUUGAGUUAGAUUGAAUUGCAUUAGGGAUUAGUUUUGUUGAAAUGGAACAUUUGCAUAUUGAGAGUAGUGUGUAUAUAUAUAAUUAUGUCUUGAAAUGAUUUAAAGAAGUGCAUAUGGUAGUUAAAUCUCAUUUGAAUAUGUUUGGUUUUGGCUUGGCAAAGAUUGCAGGAAAAAAAUCUUAGAAAUUGUAGAAAUAGUAUGUGACAUUGCGACGUCAAAUGUAUCACAUCAUGAUGAGAAAUAACAUAUAACGUCAUGGCAAGAUGAGGAACCCCGUUAUCUCAACGAGGUCAAAACAAUAUAUGGUGUUGCGACGUCAAGUGGCCUGAUGUCAUGACGUGACAAACUAUUUGACGAUGUCACGACGUGAACCCUAAAUUUUUUUAAAAUUUUUUUACGAUUCAAUCAUAUUUCGAUCUCGGGUUAACUUUAAGCUUUCAAAAGCUUGUAUAAUACCCAAUAAUGAUUAUUUUUUGUAUUGUUUACUUGUAAUUCUUAUGGAUUGUAUGUUUGAUGGUGUGAUUUCGUAUUUAAUUUGAUUGUAGUUGCUUCGGCAAUGAAUGUGACACCUUAUAACUCAGACCCGACAAUUGUGUCAGGUAUGAAGUGUUACACAUGGUAAAUGUUAUUGUAAGAGUACUUAUUGUAAUAACCAUGUUGGGGUUAUGGUGGCCUAGUUUUGUAUCCUUGUUGAUUGGUGUUGGUAAGCUACAUUGAAUGAUAUAGAUGGAUCAUAAAAUUGUUAAUAGUUGAUUUCAUUCUCUAGGUUUUGCAUAUUUAAAUGCUCUCAUUGGGUAUAAACAUUAUUUUUUAUUUCCUUCCCACAAAUGAUGUCGAUUGUUAAUGCAUAAUUUGGUGGAGGAUGUUGUGAGCAGUUCACACGUGGGUGCGAAGAGUCGUUAGUUAGGGGAGUUGGGGAUUCUAAUGAUAUUUAGGUCGAGUUUCGAAAUAGGUAAAGAGUAUUAAUCUUCUUUGGGGAAAGUGGGAGCCUAUAUAAAGGAGGGGCUUGGUAGAGUCCCUAUGGACAAAUGUCCUACUAUGCUAAGCUGUGGCGUGCUUUAUUUGGAUGUGAUAUAGUAUGGCCUGACUCUAACUUUUUUAGAUCCAACGAUAGAGCGAUGAAAGACUUUAUUAAAUGUGAUGAGAGUAGCUCUUGGCGGAACCUUGACGUAACCCACAUGACAGGCAUGUGAGACCAUCAGUCUGACUAGCCCUUCUCAGUCAGGCGCUUUAUCUGGUGAAGGUUGAUCAAAAGAGAUGAUUGGGUAUAAGAAAUAUAGAUAUAUAUUGGGAAUAUUAUUUAUAUAUAUAUAUAAGGUGAUGUUGAAAACUUUUUUAUCUAUACUUAUCAUAAAACCCUGACUAAAUUAGUGUCAUGGACUAACCGAAUAUGAAUGCAGUUGGGAAAAGACUAAUAUACAUUUUUUAAUUGACACAUAAUAUUAUUAUGAUAAUACUUUUCUAUUUUCAUACUUUUAUAUAGUCUUUAAAUAUAAAAAAAAUCGAAAACCCAUAAAUUUAAAAAUCGAACAGAUGUUUAAUAAAGUUUAUAUAGAAGCUUUUUAUCACUCUACCUAUAUUUAUUGUUGAAUAAAUUAAAAAAAUAUAUUUUUUAUAUCAUCCACACUCAGACAUCUUCUAAUAUAGAAUAAAUAGUUUUGAUAUUUUAAUUCAAAUUUUAAUAUCCACCAUGCAGACUAAGAAAACAUUUUAUACAAUGAUAAGAUAGACAAAUAAAUCAUAUAUGUAUAUAUAUGAUUCACCCUCCAAGAAUCUGGCCAUGUAAGAGUAUAGGAAAGUCAGCAAAAUGCACCAAAACAGAUCAACACUCUGUUUCCUUUAAUUUUCUGUCAAAGUGAGUAUUGAGGAAGCAGGCACAGAGAAGGAAGUACAUUUGUAAAGGAGAAUAUAAUAUAAGUUGUGUCCUUUUCGUUAGUUCUUUGUUUUUACUGCCUUUUGGCUUUCCUUUGUAUCCUAUUUCAGUCCCUUUGCAAAACCUGCCAUCUCUGAAGCUUUUGUAUCAAUUUUUCUAUAGAUAAGAUUCUUUAUGAAAAAAACUGAAUUCCGAAGCUACUUUGAUUCUGAUGAAGAAAAAGCUUCCUUUUUUGCAUGAUUUUGUUGAAAAAAUAUAAAGAAAUGAAUGUUUUAACUUGUUUUUUCUUUGUCGUGAUGCAGAUAUAACCUCUUUAGAAUCUGUGGGAAAGUUUUGCAUUUUGGAAGGUUCUUAAUCCAAGAAAAGGUAGAUAAAUCUUUUUUUUAUUUUUUAUGCUUUGGUGUUUUGUCGAUGUACCCUUUUAUCUAUUUGUGUAAAAUUUUAUUGAAAGUAGGGAAAUUUUGGAUGUUAAAGUGAAGCAGAUGGUGUUUUUGUAGAAAUUUGGGAAUGGAAGAUAGAUAUAGUUUUCCAUCCUUGAGAGAUGGGGAUUUUGAGGAAGAAGAUGUUUGGGCAGUUCUUAAGGAAAGUAAGGAUUCAACUUACAAGGUUGGACAUUCCAGUGAACCUUCCAUUCCUGAUAGAGGACAUGUUCCAAGUGCUGCAAGA